This 253-nucleotide ribosomal RNA is filed under the name uncultured bacterium. RNAcentral's name for it is "partial 16S ribosomal RNA". It matches the Rfam family "Bacterial small subunit ribosomal RNA", at positions 524 to 776 of the family's 1533-position model. The record is from RNAcentral.
UACGUAGGGUGCAAGCGUUGUCCGGAAUUAUUGGGCGUAAAGAGCGUGUAGGCGGCUUUGCAAGUCCGUUGUGAAAACUCGAGGCUCAACCUCGAGACGCCGGUGGAAACUGCAAAGCUAGAGUCCGGAAGAGGAGAGUGGAAUUCCUGGUGUAGCGGUGAAAUGCGCAGAUAUCAGGAAGAACACCCGUGGCGAAGGCGGCUCUCUGGGACGGUACUGACGCUGAGACGCGAAAGCGUGGGGAGCGAACAGG